RNAcentral lists this ribosomal RNA (697 nucleotides) under uncultured bacterium. Its description in RNAcentral is "bacterial SSU rRNA". It matches the Rfam family "Bacterial small subunit ribosomal RNA", at positions 8 to 700 of the family's 1533-position model. The record is from RNAcentral.
AGAGUUUGAUCAUGGCUCAGAUUGAACGCUGGCGGCAUGCCUUACACAUGCAAGUCGAACGGCAGCACGGGGGCAACCCUGGUGGCGAGUGGCGAACGGGUGAGUAAUACAUCGGAAUGUACCCAGUAGUGGGGGAUAACUAGUCGAAAGAUUAGCUAAUACCGCAUACGCACUAUGGUGGAAAGCGGGGGAUCGCAGGACCUCGCGCUAUUGGAGCAGCCGAUGUCCGAUUAGGUAGUUGGUGGGGUAAAGGCCUACCAAGCCUGCGAUCGGUAACUGGUCUGAGAGGACGACCAGUCACACUGGGACUGAGACACGGCCCAGACUCCUACGGGAGGCAGCAGUGGGGAAUUUUGGACAAUGGGGGAAACCCUGAUCCAGCAAUGCCGCGUGUGUGACGAAGGCCUUCGGGUUGUAAAGCACUUUUGGCGGGAACGAAACGGCGCUUUCUAAUACAGAGCGCUAAUGACGGUACCCGCAGAAUAAGCACCGGCUAACUACGUGCCAGCAGCCGCGGUAAUACGUAGGGUGCAAGCGUUAAUCGGAAUUACUGGGCGUAAAGCGUGCGCAGGCGGUUUCGUAAGACAGAUGUGAAAGCCCCGGGCUCAACCUGGGAAGUGCAUUUGUGACUGCGAGACUAGAGUGUGUCAGAGGGAGGUAGAAUUCCACGUGUAGCAGUGAAAUGCGUAGAGAUGUG